RNAcentral lists this ribosomal RNA (551 nucleotides) under uncultured soil bacterium. RNAcentral's name for it is "bacterial SSU rRNA". It matches the Rfam family "Bacterial small subunit ribosomal RNA", at positions 35 to 618 of the family's 1533-position model. The record is from RNAcentral.
GCUGGCGGCGCGCCUAACACAUGCAAGUCGAACGAGAAAGGGGAGCAAUCCCUGAGUACAGUGGCGUACGGGUGAGUAACACGUGGAUGAUCUACCCUUUAGUGAGGAAUAACUAUGGGAAACCGUAGCUAAUACCGCAUAAGCUCGAGAGAGGAAAGCAGCAAUGCGCUGAAGGAGGAGUCCGCGGCCGAUUAGCUAGUUGGCAGGGUAAAAGCCUACCAAGGCAGAGAUCGGUAGCCGGCCUGAGAGGGCACACGGCCACACUGGCACUGAAACACGGGCCAGACUCCUACGGGAGGCAGCAGUGGGGAAUCUUGCACAAUGGGGGAAACCCUGAUGCAGCGACGCCGCGUGAGCGAUGAAGCCCUUCGGGGUGUAAAGCUCUUUCGGCAGGGAAGAUAGUGACGGUACCUGCAGAAGCAGCUGCGGCUAACUACGUGCCAGCAGCCGCGGUAAUACGUAGGCAGCAAGCGUUGUUCGGAGUUACUGGGCGUAAAGGGUGUGUAGGCGGUUGUUUAAGUUUGGUGUGAAAUCUCCCGGCUCAACUGGGA